Molecule: ribosomal RNA, 99 nt
Filed under: Aeromonas caviae
Lineage: Bacteria; Pseudomonadati; Pseudomonadota; Gammaproteobacteria; Aeromonadales; Aeromonadaceae
Also listed under: 12 other names
Description: partial 16S ribosomal RNA
Rfam family: Bacterial small subunit ribosomal RNA
Source: RNAcentral
AAAUUGAAGAGUUUGAUCAUGGCUCAGAUUGAACGCUGGCGGCAGGCCUAACACAUGCAAGUCGAGCGGCAGCGGGAAAGUAGCUUGCUACUUUUGCCG